AAUGAACGCUGGCGGCAUGCCUUACACAUGCAAGUCGAACGGCAGCAUGACCUAGCUUGCUAGGUUGAUGGCGAGUGGCGAACGGGUGAGUAAUGCAUCGGAACGUGCCUUUUAGUGGGGGAUAACGUAGCGAAAGUUACGCUAAUACCGCAUAUUCUCUGAGGAGGAAAGCAGGGGACCUUCGGGCCUUGCGCUAGAAGAGCGGCCGAUGUCGGAUUAGCUAGUUGGUGAGGUAAAGGCUCACCAAGGCAACGAUCCGUAGCGGGGCUGAGAGGAUGAUCCGCCACACUGGGACUGAGACACGGCCCAGACUCCUACGGGAGGCAGCAGUGGGGAAUUUUGGACAAUGGGCGCAAGCCUGAUCCAGCCAUGCCGCGUGAGUGAAGAAGGCCUUCGGGUUGUAAAGCUCUUUCGGCUGGGAAGAAAUCGCACCCUCUAAUACAGGGUGUGGAUGACGGUACCAGCAUAAGAAGCACCGGCUAACUACGUG
This 490-nucleotide ribosomal RNA is filed under the name uncultured bacterium. RNAcentral describes it as "partial 16S ribosomal RNA". It matches the Rfam family "Bacterial small subunit ribosomal RNA", at positions 29 to 507 of the family's 1533-position model. The record is from RNAcentral.